Molecule: long non-coding RNA, 4841 nt
Organism: Numida meleagris (helmeted guineafowl)
Lineage: Eukaryota; Metazoa; Chordata; Aves; Galliformes; Numididae
Exons: 3
Source: RefSeq, a predicted model, not a curated record
AGGCAGAUUGUCUGCAGCACAGGCGCUCUGCAAAAAUCUCCUCAGCGCUCCGACGGGUUCACCCCCACUGCCUUCAGCUGUGUUGGGAGCUCGAGCACAGAUGAGUGAACAGCAUUUUAAGUACCAUGUUUAUUCAACGUGCUCUAAGCAGGGUUAGAUAAUACGAUAUUUAUAAAGCCCAAUUCUCUGUACACUUGAGGGUUGCCCACCUCACUAACACUGAUGCAGCUGAGCUGAUAUUAGCGAUGGUGAGGGGUGGCUGUAAAUUUUGCCUCAUGUAGACAAGACGGACAAGGUAAGCGGGCAGACCCUCGCUGCAGCCGCGUGCCGAGGAACGGAACCUUUUAUUUGCUGUCAUAGUGAUGACUUUUAAUUGUCCCAAUAAACAAGCUUUUAAAAAGCUUCUAAAAUGUUCUCUAAUAACACACUUUGGUCUUUAGCCAUAGAAAUGCAGAAAUAAUUAGAAGUGCCAUUGUGUACAGUGCCUUCUGGACUGGGCUGAAGGUGAAGGAGAAAGUAUCAUGCUAUCCUUGUCAGCUGCAAGGGUAAUUACUGCUGGCUGAAAUUACUCAACAUUUGUUUAUAAGCUCCCCAGAGCAUGCUGUAAAUAGAUUGUCUGUUAUAGUCCAAUCACAUUAAAACGCUGCUCCUUGCAAACUGCUACCUCCUGUUUUCUGUAAGCCAGGCAGAGAAAGCCUGCUGCUCACUUAUUGAGCACCAAACACUGAAGAGCUAUGUUUAAUGUGAUUGUUUUCAUUAGCUCUUCUCUGGCUGAUAUUGCAUUCAUUGCUGGGCUUGAAAACCAGUGUGUUGCGUUGCUUUCAUUUGUUGUAGUGAGAAUGAAUAUCUUUAUUUCUGGAGGGUGUAUGCAACAGUUGAUGGGAAUUUUGGAACAGAACAAGCAUGGGAAUAUCUACAGACACUCGUUCUCCUCCUGGGCAAUGGUGUUUUUCUAUUUGCCUUUUAAAUGCUUCUGUACUUGUUCCAGUAGUGGUCACAUUGCCUAAAUUGUCCUUUGAAGGAUGAGAAGUAUUUUCAUAAAAGGUUAGAAAGAAUGUAUUUUCCUUAGCACUGAAUUUUGCAGUACAGCAUUGUCCUGUCCAUUAUGACCUGAGUUCUAUGAAAUAGUGAUGCAGCCACAGCCUGUCUGUUUGAUUUGCUCUCAGCAUGAUUUACCACAUCAUAUCACAACAGCCCAGGUAUUUCCAAUAAAUAUGGGGCCAAAUUCAUCGCUGACAUAUGCAGACGCAAUUCCAUUGCUAUCGAUAGAGUUGCAUUUGCUCCCAUCAAGGUGAAUCUGGCCACUAAACUGAAGAUUUAGGGGAAAGAAGUGGAAUUUUGAAAAAAAAAAAAAAAAAGCAAAACCCAAAAAACAAUCCUCUCUACACCACCACCACUGUAUAUUAACAAAAAAAUAAAGGCAGUACAGAUCCAUUACCGGGGCAGAAAUUUGUAACCUCUGUUUCAUGAGUAAUUCAUGAGAACACACACAAAGGGUAUUUCAACAGCGCUCAUUUUUAUUUACCACUGAUUACUCCCCCAAAUCAGUACUGAUUAUAUAUAGAAUGAAGUGUGGCCCCAUCAUGUCGCAUUUACUUGAAAAGGCUAGCAACAGCAAACUGCUCUGCCUGCACCCAUAGCUGGGAAAAAGUCUGGACAUUAGGGAAAUUUAAGCAGAUUUUCUUUAAACCCUGAUACUGCCCUGGCGUAAAUUCUCACGGAAGACAUUGCAGCCACGACAACUUACACCAGCUAUUGAGCUUCCCGGGAAAUAAUGCAACAAAGCAGCAACGUUAGUGACCACUAGACAAUUACUAAGGGAACACAGAUAAUUGGAAGAAAAUAAAUGACCUGGAUAGAAUAGCAAGUAUAAAAUGAAGUGCAGGCAAAAUCACUGUGCUGGAUACUUUCCAGCAUCCCCUGUCCCAAGUGCCUUUCUUCCAAAUUUUAAGAUCUGCAUCAAGCUUCUGUUCUAUGCAAACCAGCCAGGAAAGGAUUAGAACUGAGAUCUGGAUAUCCACGUUUUCUUCUAACUGGAAUCAUUGCCUGUGGAAAACUGUUCUUCUGGGAAAGAUGCUGGAGUGCUAGAAAUGAUGAUUCAAUUGCCCAUUAAGAUAAUUCCUGGAAGUACUACUUUCUUGAGGCUGUGCUUCCAGGAAUGGCAAUCACGGCAUCACUUCUCUGACAGUGCGAUAGGUAUCUCCAGAAGUGGACGCAGCAGGUGAAUAUUUCCAGUUACUGCAAGCAAUACACCACAGGUUAGAUCUCCUGGUUAUCUUUAUUUGCAAAAGCUAACUAAUGCAGCAUAUUGCAAUGCUUUGAUGAUAAAUUACACCAAUUGUUUUGCAAUAAACUGAAGCUCUUCUGCAAUCCAGGUAACAUUUUUUAUGUUCCUAUUACUGCUUUUUGUGCUAUUAGAGAAGCAGUGAAUCUUUAAAGAGAAACUUCCUACAGCUAAAAAAGACAUUAAGGGGGAAAAAAGCUGGGAGCCAUAGUGACAGGUACAACUAAGGCUGUAUCCUUCGGUUCCCUGGAAACCAGUCAAACACUAUCUCAUCUUGCAAUGGUUGCGUCUGAUCCUCCGCUUCAGACAUCUUCCUAAUAAUGGCAACUACAGAGGUGACUCUCUGCAAAUAAGGGCUUACAGCAACUGGACAUCCAUCAUAUAUCUCCAGAGCAACAUUAGACCACUCUAAUGGGUACUCCCGUCUUCAUUAUGAUAUUAAUUCUCUAAAUUUCCAAAGUGAUUUCAUUUGUAAAAUGACAAAGGCUGGCUGCUCAGGAGACAAACUGUUUUCAUCCCCCUCCUGCAUGCUUACAAAGGCUUGCUCUCUUUAGUCUUUGGGGGAAAAGAAAUUUGAUAGCAUCAGAUCUCUUGUGAUACACAAGGCUGCCUAACAGCUACACCACCUGCCAGCACUGCAUGCCUGCCCAUCCAGCCUGAAGAUUUCUAAAGCAAUGGUUGAUGAGGAGAACAUGGAGGCUGGUUUGGGAGGGGGCUGGGGGGAAGCUAUGCAGAGAGAAAAUAGAGGCUGUAUAAAAUACUCAGUGUGAAAGUGAGGCAGGAUUGAGGGUAAGGGUGAGGUCAGAGCCAAGGCUGGAAGCUGAAUCAAUCUGAACAAGGCUGGUUUGGUUAGAUUAGGUAAAAGCAUGAUUUUCUCCCUGGUGAAUCAAAGCCAUUGCUGUGGCUACAAAUUCACUGUCAGCCAACCAAAGCAAACACUGCACAAAGAAUCAAUUUUUUUGCGUAGCUCCUGUACUCCAAACUCUUUAGGGUUAAAUAAAAUAGAGAUUAAAUUAAAAAGGAAAUCAGUAAACCUGUGACAUCUCCAAUGCUCGCCCCAAAUAGCAACUAACUAAAAUGUCUGAAUGAACAAUAGUGAGGAAAUUAGGAGGUUCUUCCAAGGGCAGCAAUAAUUGUAACCUGACUGGUGAAUGAAUUUGGAAGCAAUCGAAACAAAACAGCGUUUAAUGUACUGAAAAGUCUAGAAGACACCAAUCUCAUUAGGCUUUAUCCUGCUUUAACAGAGUACCCAAAUGGCAUCCUGAAGUUUGCAUACUGCUGGCUUUCCUUUCAUUUACACUCCUCGUCUUUCUGUCGGCAGAGCUGGGUGCACGUGGGCAGUGGUACGAGGGGAGCCUGUGCCAGAGCUCUGCUCCCUCUUCCUGGGAAGACAGCCUUAGGCAAGAAGAUCGGUGCCGCUUGCUCCUAUUCAUGGAGAAGACAUUCUCGGUGUGCAUUGAACUUUGCCUUUUCUGAAAGAGGUGCUAAACUACUGCUCCUUUCCAUCUUUAGGAGUACAUUCACAAACGACAGUCUGCUUUAAGGACACUGGAGUGUAGAAUUAUACUGGGCUGCUUCUUCUACGAUCUUCUUUAUCUUUUGGGUCAGCAACAUCACUAAUUGGCACUUGACAGCACACUUCCAGAUACUCCUUGUGAAUCUCAUAGUGUGACUGAUGGUUGAUAAAGAGAAGAAUUCGCGGAUCCAUUUUAGUCCAUCAAAAACUAGAUGCUGCAUAGCGUGUACCACAUCUGGCAAUUGAUAGCACCAUGUUUGUUAAGGUUAUCUGAUUGGAAGAGCUGCAAGCAAUGAAUAACGCAGCAAAGCUGCAUGUGAUAACAUCCCCACAGUGAAACUGCAUCUGCUGACAGCUUCAUGCUUGCCAUUUUAAUAUUCUGGACGUUGUAAGUGGAAAGUGCAAAGAAAUGCUCCCAAUUUCCUGAAUGCACUUGCCAGACAAAGAUACCCCACAAUGCAUUUGAUACAUUCUUUUUUAUCCUGCUACUUUUUCAAGUCAUUUUUUGCAUUCUAAAAUGGUAGGAUUUUUUUUUUUUCUGAUGCCUGAAUGUAUUUGAGGUAUGGGUUUGUUUUGCAGUAGAACUACUGCAACUUUUCUGUUGAUGCCCAGAGAGGAACAAUUCAAAAUCUGUGCCUUUUUUUUUUUUUUUUAUAGGUCUAAAAUAGUUAUUUUUCUAUAUACUUUAUAAACUAAUCAUUUCAAGACUUCGCUGAACACACAAAAAAACAGUAACCCUGCUUUUUUAAUAUUCUCAAAAUAUAAAAGACACUUUCCGAGAACAGAAGAGCUCUCCAUCCUCCAGCAUAAGAAAUCAAGUAGAAGAGGCAGGAAACUGGCAUGGCUGAGCAAGAACCUGCUAGUCAAACUGAGGGAUAUGAAGGACCAGAGGAGAGCCAUCAUGAUGAUCAGAAGGCUAAAGCACCUCUGAUAUGAAGAAAGGUUGAUGGAGCUGGGUUUGUUUAGCUUGGAUGAGAGAAGGCUCAGGGGAGACCUGAUUGCUGCCUUCCAGUGCUUGAGGGAAGCUUAUAAACAGGAGGG